This is a long non-coding RNA of Rosa chinensis, 765 nucleotides long. RefSeq lists it as uncharacterized. The transcript has 5 exons. The record is from RefSeq and is a predicted model, not a curated record. NCBI's taxonomy places the organism in Eukaryota, Viridiplantae, Streptophyta, Magnoliopsida, Rosales, Rosaceae.
UCUAGAAGCUAGCACUUGUUUGAUGGAAAAGCCAAAGCCGCCUCACCCUAGCUUUUAGAAGCAGGAGAUGGCUUUUGUCACUGUAGCGGUGAUUACUGUAGUUUAAUGAACUUCUGAAAAUACCAAUUUCUGUGCUCACUUCGUUUCAGCAAUUACACGAUGCCAUGAAACCUUCUCUUCCGUGUUCAAUUCGAAGCCUCACGCAGCGCUGCAAACACAAACGCAUAAUCUCUCUACCUGAUUGCCUUCACCUCGCCUCUCAUCCGUGUUCGAAAUUGAAGCCUCAAUCCUUGAUUGCUGGCUGCUUGGCAAUUUGAUUCACGGAAGCAUCUUUAAGAACUCCAAACUUUUAAGUUCUUAUCAAGUUCCACUAGUGAGCAUUCCGAGGAAUUGACAUUGAGGAGAACUGGGAUAAGGUUAAGACCAUAUUUGUCCCAACGGGAGCUUCCCUUUCACCAGAUGUAUCUGCUCCACUGGUUGCGACCCUUCCCUUGGAGGGGCCUUUAUUGAGCUUAUUUAGCAGGUGCAAGUAAAAGGUGUGCAGGCUGGCUUUAAAUAUAAUGUGAAGAAGUAUACAUCUCUCUGUUACCUCUUCAUCUAUCUUUGCUUGUGUUCCUUUUGCAGGUUAGUUUUGUUGUCAUUGUGUAUUGUGUUCUGUGUGUUCUGUGUACCUAUCCCUAUGAACUAUCUAUAUGGAAACAACACAAAGCACUCAACCUCUCCUCAACAUAUCCAAAAUGCAUAUCUUUUACUUACAGAACAACA